GCAGGCCAGAUUUGUAAAACAAAUAGAUUUUAGGCCCAAAGAUUAUUUAAAGCAUUGCCUGGAACGCAGUGAGUUUUUGUUAGAAAAGAGGAUAAUUCAAAGUGGCAUUGCUUUGCUUCUUAUGUUAAUUUGGUACAGACCUGUGGCUGAGUUUGCUCAAAGUAUUCAGAGCAGAAUUGUGGAGUGGAAAGAGAGAUUGGACAAAGAGUUUAGUUUGUCAGUGUAUCAAAAAAUGAAGUUUAAUGUGGCUAUGGGAGUUGGAGUUUUAGAUUGGCUAAGAAACAGUGAUGAUGAUGAUGAUGACAGCCAGGAAAAUGCUGAUAAAAAUGAAGAUGGUGGGGAGAAGAACAUGGAAGACUCAGGGCA
This 366-nucleotide unclassified non-coding RNA is filed under the name Betapolyomavirus macacae. Its description in RNAcentral is "Macaca mulatta polyomavirus 1 SV40-associated small RNA". Lineage: Floreoviria; Shotokuvirae; Cossaviricota; Papovaviricetes; Sepolyvirales; Polyomaviridae. The record is from RNAcentral.